Anas platyrhynchos (mallard) is the source of this 370-nucleotide non-coding RNA. The record is from RefSeq and is a predicted model, not a curated record. Lineage: Eukaryota; Metazoa; Chordata; Aves; Anseriformes; Anatidae.
AGUAAGAAGUACAAAGCAUCUGUGGAAUCGAGUCUUAUCGGCGGUGUUUCAGUCGCAUCUAAAACACAUAAAAAUAGCGGAAGUCGCUAACCUGAAGUACUCGGCUGUCUCGCUGCCCCCGUCACCUUGCGCGCUGGAUCCUGCUUCUGGUGCCGUAUGCAGUUUCUGUCUGCUGGUGAUUUGGGGAGUUCCCUCGCAAUUAGUUGCGAGUUGAUGGUUUCCUACAGGUGGCGUUCUCGAGGACGGAGAGUUAAUACGGCCUCAGCCGGAUUACUCCAGGUUCUUUGAAGAUGCCUUCCUGCCUCUGGCCGAGGCAAUAUUUGGACGUAACCGAAGGACGUGCCUUGCGUUCCGUGAUAGUUCGCCUCAG